UGUGAAGUCCCUCAACUUCAGUGUCUAUGAGUGGCCUGCUCCUGCUCUGAGACUGUGAGAAGAGCCUCAAUGUGCCCAGCAAGCCUCCAAUUUCACGGUGCAGAUAUGAAGCCUGUGGUGUAGCCUGGCCAACAUUGGGAGUCAGAGUCAAUGCUGCCUCAUCUGCUCUGGCUGCAACCUGGAACGUCCUGAUACUUCAUCAGCCUCAGGCCUCCUGCUCCUGUUCAUCCAUUCC
Molecule: long non-coding RNA, 235 nt
Organism: Nothoprocta perdicaria
Lineage: Eukaryota; Metazoa; Chordata; Aves; Tinamiformes; Tinamidae
Exons: 3
Source: RefSeq, a predicted model, not a curated record